GUGGGGAAUCUUGCGCAAUGGGCGAAAGCCUGACGCAGCCAUGCCGCGUGAAUGAUGAAGGUCUUAGGAUUGUAAAAUUCUUUCACCGGGGACGAUAAUGACGGUACCCGGAGAAGAAGCUCCGGCUAACUUCGUGCCAGCAGCCGCGGUAAUACGAAGGGGGCUAGCGUUGCUCGGAAUUACUGGGCGUAAAGGGCGCGUAGGCGGACAGCUUAGUCAGAGGUGAAAGCCCAGGGCUCAACCUUGGAAUUGCCUUUGAUACUGGCUGUCUUGAGUUUGGGAGAGGUGAGUGGAACUCCGAGUGUAGAGGUGAAAUUCGUAGAUAUUCGGAAGAACACCAGUGGCGAAGGCGGCUCACUGGCUCGAUACUGACGCUGAGGUGCGAAAGCGUGGGGAGCAAACAGGAUUAGAUACCCCGGUAGUCC
Molecule: ribosomal RNA, 425 nt
Filed under: uncultured bacterium
Lineage: Bacteria
Description: partial 16S ribosomal RNA
Rfam family: Bacterial small subunit ribosomal RNA
Source: RNAcentral